RNAcentral lists this ribosomal RNA (429 nucleotides) under Pseudomonadota bacterium. RNAcentral's name for it is "Proteobacteria bacterium partial 16S ribosomal RNA". It matches the Rfam family "Bacterial small subunit ribosomal RNA", at positions 355 to 776 of the family's 1533-position model. The record is from RNAcentral. Lineage: Bacteria; Pseudomonadati; Pseudomonadota.
UGGGGAAUAUUGGACAAUGGGCGAAAGCCUGAUCCAGCCAUGCCGCGUGUGUGAAGAAGGUCUUCGGAUUGUAAAGCACUUUAAGUUGGGAGGAAGGGCAGUAAGCGAAUACCUUGCUGUUUUGACGUUACCGACAGAAUAAGCACCGGCUAACUCUGUGCCAGCAGCCGCGGUAAUACAGAGGGUGCAAGCGUUAAUCGGAAUUACUGGGCGUAAAGCGCGCGUAGGUGGUUCGUUAAGUUGAAUGUGAAAGCCCCGGGCUCAACCUGGGAACUGCAUCCAAAACUGGCGAGCUAGAGUAGGGCAGAGGGUGGUGGAAUUUCCUGUGUAGCGGUGAAAUGCGUAGAUAUAGGAAGUAACACCAGUGGCGAAGGCGACCACCUGGGCUCAUACUGACACUGAGGUGCGAAAGCGUGGGGAGCAAACAGG